Non-coding RNA from Oncorhynchus mykiss (rainbow trout), 1012 nucleotides. The record is from RefSeq and is a predicted model, not a curated record. Lineage: Eukaryota; Metazoa; Chordata; Actinopteri; Salmoniformes; Salmonidae.
AGAAGGGCAGAGGGUAGAUUAAAAGAGAAAGAAAGAGAGACAGAUAAAAGGAGAGAGGUAGAGAAGGGCAGAGGGUGGAUUAAAAGAGAAAGAAAGAGAGAGAUGUACGUUAUAGUAUAGCUACCAAAUUGCACUGCUUGCCAAGCAUAAUUGCCCCUUGCGGGACAUAUUAAGUACAUGGUAUUGAAUCACAUGUUCCAGAGAUUCCGGUCUCUCUUGGUUAGACACCUUGUAUCCUUGCAUUACUUACUCCCAUUAAUAAAUAUCAGCUUUCUGGUGUAUCUCCACAUCACCAUGACCCUGCAGUACCACUCUAUACCCUGAGGCACAAACAGAACCGACAAAGGUCCACUACGAGAGACUUCUGCUCCAUCAUCUGUUCUCUCUCUCUCUCUCUCUCUCUCUCUCUCUGCUGACUGGGUCUUUUCAGUCUGGCACUGCGGCGUUUGGAUUAAUAUUACCUCAGCAAACAUUAUCUCAUAUGAAAUCUUCCCCUGCACUGGCCAUGGAAGGAUGGAGGAUAUAUUGUGGGUUUCUUGGUACGAAUCCUUUCACCGGUUCCCUUUUGUUUGUAUAGUUUGUUUUAACUCGCCCCUUUAGCAGCAGACUUGCUUUCUGAUGGCUUCUGACUCGAGCCUUUUGAGAGGUUGUUUGGCGAUCAUUAUUCAAUGAGACUGAACUGAAUGGAUUAAUUGAUGUACUCAGCUGUGGUAUUGGAGCUCUGCGGAAAUACAGACAUGCAGAUGAAAUUGAAAUGGUCCCUUCAUUCGGAAUGUCUGUGAGAAAGAAAAAAGAUGACUAAAGUGGUGCAGCGAUCUAUGGCACCGCAUCUCAGUCCUAGAGGCAUCACUACAGACCCUGGUUUGAUUCCAGGUUGUAUCACAACCGGCCGUGAUUGGGAGUCCCAUAGGGCGGCGCACAAUUGGUCCAGUGUCGUCCCAGUUAGGGUUUGGCCUGCGGGGGUGGGCUGUCAUUUUAAAUAAGAAUUUGUUCUUAACUGACUUUCCUAGUU